CAGACACCCCCGGAUCCCCAGAUCCCACAGCGUGCAUUCUCCCUCGUGGCAAAGGACACUGGGCCGCCUGCGUUGCCACAGGAACUCACUCCUCCGUGGGCUGAGGGCAUUGGCAGCUGAUGGAGAAGAUCAAAGUGGGACGUUGGUCUGCUUGGCCUGCCCUGGCUGGCAUUUGCAGGGCACUUGCCUGCUGCCCCCUGGACCUCGUGGUACCCAUGAGAGCCAGGUCUCCUUGUCUUCAGCCUGGAUAAGGACACAGAGAGGGGGCGGUGGACAACCUGGCUGGGCCCUUCCUGGACUCCUGGGCUCACCAUGACCUCUGUGGACACAGCUUGGCCUUCUUCACUCGGGGACCAGCCAUCCCUCCCCACCCGGCACCCCGAAUGCUCUGACAGGCUCUGUUAACUCCUUCCUUGACCCUGGAAUGCACCUCCCGUGAGUCUGCCCAGGUGAACCCCUCCCACACUCACCCCAGGCCUAGCACCAGCCACAACUCUUCCCCUGCCCUCCCCUGCUGCCUCCCCUCCCCCUUUCUUCCUUCCUCUGGAGGCCACCCCUCCCCUGCUGCCUCCCUGGGUUUCCCCCUUCUCUUCCCUUGCUGUCCCCCAGCAUCUGCCUUCAAAUCCUUCCCCACCACACCCAGACCCCCCAGGCCAGCUGCUCCAUAGGAUAUGACAACUGUAUUACUUAUUUAUUUAUUUGUUGAGACAGGGUCUCACUCUUGUCACCCAGGCUGGAGUGCAGUGGCACGAUCUGGGCUCACUGCAGUCUUGACCUCCCAAGGCUCAGGUGAUCCUCCCACUUCAGCCUCUCGAGUAGCUGGGACCACAGGCGUGAGCCACCAAACUCAGUUAAUUUUUGUAUUUUUUUGUAGAGAUGGGAUUUUGCCAUGUUGUCCAGGCUGGUCUUGAACUCCUGGGCUCAAGCGCUGUGCCUGCCUCAGCCUCCCAGAGUGCUGGGAUUACAGGUGGGAGCCACAGCGCCUGCCUGGAUAUGGUAUCUUUACUCGGGGCCAGG
RNAcentral lists this long non-coding RNA (1017 nucleotides) under Homo sapiens (human). Its description in RNAcentral is "HSALNT0278879". Lineage: Eukaryota; Metazoa; Chordata; Mammalia; Primates; Hominidae. The record is from RNAcentral.